GGGGAUUUAGCUCAGUGGUAGAGCGUUUGCCUACCAAGCACUAAGGCCCUGGGUUCGGUCCCCAGCUCCG
Molecule: transfer RNA, 70 nt
Filed under: Rattus norvegicus (Norway rat)
Lineage: Eukaryota; Metazoa; Chordata; Mammalia; Rodentia; Muridae
Rfam family: tRNA
About the family: Transfer RNA (tRNA) molecules are approximately 80 nucleotides in length. Their secondary structure includes four short double-helical elements and three loops (D, anti-codon, and T loops).
Source: Rfam by way of RNAcentral